RNAcentral lists this ribosomal RNA (397 nucleotides) under uncultured bacterium. Its description in RNAcentral is "bacterial SSU rRNA". It matches the Rfam family "Bacterial small subunit ribosomal RNA", at positions 28 to 429 of the family's 1533-position model. The record is from RNAcentral.
GACGAACGCUGGCGGCGUGCUUAACACAUGCAAGUCGAGCGGUAAGGCCCUUUCGGGGGUACGACGAGCGGCGAACGGGUGAGUAACACGUGGGUGACCUGCCCUCAGCUCUGGGAUAAGCCUGGGAAACCGGGUCUAAUACUGGAUAUGACUCCAUGACGCAUGUUGUGGGGUGGGAAGCCUUGUGCGGCUGAGGAUGGGCCCGCGGCCUAUCAGCUUGUUGGUGGGGUGAUGGCCUACCAAGGCGACGACGGGUAGCCGGCCUGAGAGGGCGACCGGCCACACUGGGACUGAGACACGGCCCAGACUCCUACGGGAGGCAGCAGUGGGGAAUCUUGCGCAAUGGGCGAAAGCCUGACGCAGCGACGCCGCGUGAGGGAUGACGGCCUGGUGUAAC